Molecule: long non-coding RNA, 825 nt
Organism: Lolium rigidum
Lineage: Eukaryota; Viridiplantae; Streptophyta; Magnoliopsida; Poales; Poaceae
Exons: 3
Source: RefSeq, a predicted model, not a curated record
UUGUAUCACCAUUUUCAUUGUUUUCAAUGUACUUGUGUCUUUAUACUACUCGAUUGGCUGCAUAUGGUUAUUUUUCACUGUUGUAACUAUACAUGUAUACGCAGGUGGUGCAACUACGUUUCAAUAAUUACUUUUCUCUCUGUUCUUAAAUUAUGCUUCGUAAUUUUCCAUUUUAUGACCGUUAUGACAUCAUUUUUCCCUUGAACAAGAGAGGUGCCUUUUGUAUCUGACUAGUACUUCGAAAUUCAUAUAUGCAUGGACUUCUACCCACUUAUUGGAAAUACAGAAGUCUGGGAGGGUAGCCUAGAUCACAUGAGGGGUGAUGGCGUUCUUCUCCACCUCAAAUUACGUGCAACUAGAGUAGAUUACAACGAGGUCCAUAUAAAAUACAAAAUUGCAAACAGAACCUCAACAAGUGCGAAAGGACCCAGGACAAGAAACAGAAACGAUUAUCUGCUAGCAGUGGCAAGACAACAAGUUGAUCAGAUCAUAUUUUUAGUUUGCUAUGCAGGUAGUUUUUGUGCGGGUGACCAGCUACGUCAGACACUGAAAUUAGGUAUGAUAUAGGACAUGUAGUAGGAGGUCAAUGUAGUCCACAAGAGAACAGUGUAUAUUAUCUUCACUGCGUCAUGUCAUGUUAUUUUGUCCAUACGAUUGCUUAAGAUGUCCAUGCAGAAAUAUGUAGUUUAGCUAUCAGCAUGGCAAGAGCAGGAAUGACAAAAAGUUGGAUUUCAGUGCUAUUCUUGGAAGAAUAGAUUUGGCAUCAGGUAUGGCAAGAGCAGGCUCAACGUGGAAAGGAGCAAGUGCAGGAAAAAGUUUGUGACU